RNAcentral lists this ribosomal RNA (497 nucleotides) under uncultured bacterium. Its description in RNAcentral is "partial 16S ribosomal RNA". It matches the Rfam family "Bacterial small subunit ribosomal RNA", at positions 28 to 507 of the family's 1533-position model. The record is from RNAcentral.
GAUGAACGCUGGCGGCGUGCCUAAUACAUGCAAGUCGAGCGAACGGACGAGAAGCUUGCUUUUCUGAUGUUAGCGGCGGACGGGUGAGUAACACGUGGAUAACCUACCUAUAAGACUGGGAUAACUUCGGGAAACCGGAGCUAAUACCGGAUAAUAUUUUGAACCGCAUGGUUCAAAAGUGAAAGACGGUCUUGCUGUCACUUAUAGAUGGAUCCGCGCUGCAUUAGCUAGUUGGUAAGGUAACGGCUUACCAAGGCAACGAUGCAUAGCCGACCUGAGAGGGUGAACGGCCACCAUGGAACUGAGACAAGGUCCAGAAUCCUACGGGAGGCAGCAGUAGGGAAUCUUCCGCAAUGGGCGAAAGCCUGACGGAGCAACGCCGCGUGAGUGAUGAAGGUCUUCGGAUCGUAAAACUCUGUUAUUAGGGAAGAACAUAUGUGUAAGUAACUGUGCACAUCUUGACGGUACCUAAUCAGAAAGCCACGGCUAACUACGUG